RNAcentral lists this ribosomal RNA (338 nucleotides) under uncultured archaeon. RNAcentral describes it as "bacterial SSU rRNA". It matches the Rfam family "Archaeal small subunit ribosomal RNA", at positions 518 to 856 of the family's 1478-position model. The record is from RNAcentral.
UCCGUAGCCUGUUCUGUAGGUCCCCUGUUAAAUCCAACGGCUCAACCGUUGGCCCGCAGGGGAUACCGCAGGACUAGGAGGCGGGAGAGGUGGGCGGUACUCCACGUGUAGGGGUAAAAUCCUUUGAUCCGUGGAAGACCACCAGUGGCGAAGGCGGCCCACCAGAACGCGCUCGACGGUGAGGGAUGAAAGCUGGGGGAGCGAACCGGAUUAGAUACCCGGGUAGUCCCAGCCGUAAACGAUGCAAGCUAGAUGAUCCGGUCGCAAAUCGCGAUCGGAGUGUCGCAGGGAAGCCGUUAAGCUUGCCGCCUGGGGAGUACGGUCGCAAGACUGAAACU